ACCCCAGAAUAUUAAGCCGACAGUUUGUGUCCACUGCCAUGACCUUGUUCUGUGACUAAUUCUGGGUACAUAAAGCCUCCCUGACCUGUGUAAGUGAAACUGGCGUCUUAGAGCCGGUUUCUCUAAGGUUUUGUCCGGGACA
Molecule: small nucleolar RNA, 142 nt
Filed under: Megaselia scalaris
Lineage: Eukaryota; Metazoa; Arthropoda; Insecta; Diptera; Phoridae
Description: small nucleolar RNA snoR639/H1
Source: RNAcentral